GAGUUUGAUCUUGGCUCAGAUUGAACGCUGGCGGCAUGCCUUACACAUGCAAGUCGAACGACGCUAGGGGCAACUCUAGCGAGUGGCGAACGGGUGAGUAAUACAUCGGAACGUGUCCUGUCGUGGGGGAUAACCAGUCGAAAGACUGGCUAAUACCGCAUGACCUCGCAAGAGAAAAGCGGAGGACCGCAAGGCUUCGCGCGAUUGGAGCGGCCGAUGUCGGAUUAGCUAGUUGGCGGGGUAAUGGCCCACCAAGGCGACGAUCCGUAGCUGGUUUGAGAGAACGACCAGCCACACUGGGACUGAGACACGGCCCAGACUCCUACGGGAGGCAGCAGUGGGGAAUUUUGGACAAUGGGGGCAACCCUGAUCCAGCCAUGCCGCGUGUGUGAAGAAGGCC
This 400-nucleotide ribosomal RNA is filed under the name uncultured beta proteobacterium. RNAcentral describes it as "bacterial SSU rRNA". It matches the Rfam family "Bacterial small subunit ribosomal RNA", at positions 9 to 416 of the family's 1533-position model. The record is from RNAcentral. Lineage: Bacteria; Pseudomonadati; Pseudomonadota; Betaproteobacteria.